Molecule: ribosomal RNA, 2202 nt
Filed under: Triticum aestivum (bread wheat)
Lineage: Eukaryota; Viridiplantae; Streptophyta; Magnoliopsida; Poales; Poaceae
Description: partial small subunit ribosomal RNA
Source: RNAcentral
AUGGCGGCCUUCGCCGUGCCUUUCUGCGCAUCGGCUUUUGGCAUCACUGUGCCCUCUAUUGUGAAGCUGCUCAAGUACGAGUUGUUCCUGAGCAAGAAAGUGAAGGACGGGCUGGCGAGCCUCCAGGCCGAGCUGAAGAGCAUGCACGCUUUCCUUGGGGAUGUCUCAAGCCUGGCGCCGGACCUGCAGCUUGGCCCGCAGGUGAAACUCCAGGCCGACGAGGUCAGUGAUCUGUCCCAUUCCAUCGGGACAUGCCUCCACUCCUUCGUUGUGCGCAUCGAGUCUUCCAAGGAUGUGGGCAAGCUGGUUAUUAACCACGAGAUAGACACCUACAUCGAUGAUACACGAAUCAAGGUUAAGGAACUGCGUGAGCGGCAUGGCCCGUAUCCUUCCAGGAGUUCCCUGGAAAGUACUUGCACCCAGAAACUGGAUCCUCGUAUCCUUGCCAAGUACAAGAGAGAAUCUAACCCUGUUGGCAUAGCAGGCGCAAUUGCCGAUCUAACCAAUAUGUUGUCUAAGGACAAUCAUGCUAUGAUCUCCAUUGUCGGGAUGGGGGGAAUUGGCAACACCACCCUUGCUCAAGCAGUCUACGACAAGAUGAAAGGGGAUUUCGAUUGCGGGGCUUUUGUUCCCAUCGGCCAGAGAGCUGGUCCGGAGAAGGUUCUAAAGGACAUCUUUGAUGGACUUCACAUGGAGAUUUAUGGCAAGGAACCAAAACAACUCCAGCUUGCUAACCAGCUGCAAGAGUCGCUAGUACAUAAGAGGUGCUUAAUUGUCGUUGAUGAUAUAUGGGAUAAGGAAACAUGGACCUUGAUUGAAAAUGUUUUUGAGGAUAGUGCUGGAAGUAAAAUCAUCACCACGACUCGUAACCGCAAAUUUGCCGAAGAAUUUGGUGGCAUCUACGAGAUGAAACCACUAUGCACAGAUGACUCCAGAAAGUUACUCCGCACCAAAGCUAAAGUUAAAGGCCAUGAUACUGAAUUUGAUAUAUUGUCAGAUAAAAUUUUGCGUAAAUGUGUCGGUGUGCCAAUGGCUAUCACUGUGAUAGGUAGCUUCCUUGCUAAAAAACAAAGAAGCGAGUGGAAUAGGGAGUAUGAUUCUAUUGGUUUUGACGAACACGAGGAGGAUAGUGCUUUCGAGGUAAUAACCAAGGUGAUGCGUUAUAGCUAUAUUGAUCUGCCCUACCCUACCCGGAAUUGUUUUUUGUACCUAAGCAUGUUCCCAAAAGAUCACUGGAUCGAUAAGAACAUGCUGAUAUGGAGGUGGGUAGCAGAAGGCCUUGUGCCUGAUGAGUUGUUUGAGACUGGGGGCUCCUAUUUGAACGAGCUCAUAGAUAGGAGCAUGCUGCAGUGGGCGGUGAGUCCACGUGACGUCGGCCAAGGUGGUUGUCGCGUCCAUAGUUUGAUUUUUGACCUCAUCCGCGACCUGUCAAGCAGCCAGGAACAGAACUUCUCCACUGUGCUAGGCAUGAUGCAGGAGAGCACAACUCGAACCAGACCCACUCAUAGACUAGCCAUCCACGGAACAAUCCUGGGUCAAAAUCAGAACACUAGCCUGAAUGUAGGAGAGGUGAAAUCAUUUUAUGCCAGCACGUGUACUGGUGCUGGUAGUAGCUUCCCCCCAUUACAGAAUUUUGUAGAGCUUCGUGUACUAGAUCUGCAAGAUUGUGAUUUAUCUGUCAAGGAACACCUGGAGGACCUCAAGUCGAAAUGCCUGGAGUAUGUUGGGCUACUGCGCACACCUGUAGCUGAGCUCCCGGAUAAGAUAGGACACCUCAAGCUCCUACAGACGCUCGAUGUGACAUCGACUGGCAUCAGUAAGCUGCCGCCGUUUGUCGACGAGCUAGUGACACUGAGGUGCCUGCGUGCUGGCACUGGCACAAGUAUGAUGGGCCGGGUAGAGAAGCUAACGUCCCUGGAAGAGCUGUGGCUGCACUCGGCAGACAAGUCCCCGGACUUCGCCGUUGGGCUCCGAAAGCUGAGCAAGAUGAGGGUGCUGGUAAUCCAUUUCGAGGAGAUCGACAAUGACAUGCAAGAGACACUGGUGGAGUCCCUGCAUGAACUGAAGAAGCUCCGGGCCCUGCAGGUCUGGUCGGACGCAGAGGAGAAGGUCCGCGUUGGCUGCUGGGAAGGCAGCGUGCCUUCCCGGCAGCUCCGCCAGCUGCUGCUGUUCGGAGUCAUCCUACCCAGGCGGAUGCCAUGA